RNAcentral lists this ribosomal RNA (1017 nucleotides) under Colletotrichum gloeosporioides. Its description in RNAcentral is "SSU rRNA". It matches the Rfam family "Eukaryotic small subunit ribosomal RNA", at positions 59 to 1090 of the family's 1831-position model. Lineage: Eukaryota; Fungi; Ascomycota; Sordariomycetes; Glomerellales; Glomerellaceae. The record is from RNAcentral.
CGCAGUUGUUAGCAAUUAUACAGCGAAACUGCGAAUGGCUCAUUAUAUAAGUUAUCGUUUAUUUGAUAGUACCUUACUACUUGGAUAACCGUGGUAAUUCUAGAGCUAAUACAUGCUAAAAAUCCCGACUUCGGAAGGGAUGUAUUUAUUAGAUUAAAAACCAAUGCCCUUCGGGGCUCACUGGUGAUUCAUAAUAACUUCUCGAAUCGCAUGGCCUUGCGCCGGCGAUGGUUCAUUCAAAUUUCUUCCCUAUCAACUUUCGAUGCUAGAGUAGUGUUCUAGCAUGGUUACAACGGGUAACGGAGGGUUAGGGCUCGACCCCGGAGAAGGAGCCUGAGAAACGGCUACUACAUCCAAGGAAGGCAGCAGGCGCGCAAAUUACCCAAUCCCGACACGGGGAGGUAGUGACGAUAAAUACUGAUACAGGGCUCUUUUGGGUCUUGUAAUUGGAAUGAGUACAAUUUAAAUCCCUUAACGAGGAACAAUUGGAGGGCAAGUCUGGUGCCAGCAGCCGCGGUAAUUCCAGCUCCAAUAGCGUAUAUUAAAGUUGUUGUGGUUAAAAAGCUCGUAGUAGAACCUUGGGCCUGGCUGACCGGUCCGCCUCACCGCGUGUACUGGUCCGGCCGGGCUCCCACCAUAGUCUAACCGCAUGCCCUUCACUGGGUGUGUUGGCGAAACUAUAUUUUUACUUUGAAAAAAUUAGAGUGCUCCAGGCAGGCCUAUGCUCGAAUACAUUAGCAUGGAAUAAUAGAAUAGGACGUGUGGUUCUAUUUUGUUGGUUUCUAGGACCGCCGUAAUGAUUAAUAGGGACAGUCGGGGGCAUCAGUAUUCAAUUGUCAGAGGUGAAAUUCUUGGAUUUAUUGAAGACUAACUACUGCGAAAGCAUUUGCCAAGGAUGUUUUCUUUAUCAGGAACGAAAGUAAGGGGAUCGAAGACGAUCAGAUACCGUCGUAGUCUUACCCAUAACUAUGCCGACAAGGGAUCGGACGAUGUAAUUUUUGACCCUUCGGACCUUAC